Molecule: ribosomal RNA, 252 nt
Filed under: uncultured bacterium
Lineage: Bacteria
Description: partial 16S ribosomal RNA
Rfam family: Bacterial small subunit ribosomal RNA
Source: RNAcentral
UACGGAGGAUGCGAGCGUUAUCCGGAUUUAUUGAGUUUAAAGGGUGCGUAGGCGGGAUGCCAAGUCAGCGGUAAAAAUGCGGUGCUCAACGCCGUCGAGCCGUUGAAACUGGCGUUCUUGAGUGGGCGAGAAGUAUGCGGAAUGCGUGGUGUAGCGGUGAAAUGCAUAGAUAUCACGCAGAACUCCGAUUGCGAAGGCAGCAUACCGGCGCCCUACUGACGCUGAGGCACGAAAGCGUGGGUAUCGAACAGG